Long non-coding RNA from Anthonomus grandis grandis, 1154 nucleotides. RefSeq lists it as uncharacterized. The record is from RefSeq and is a predicted model, not a curated record. The transcript has 3 exons. Lineage: Eukaryota; Metazoa; Arthropoda; Insecta; Coleoptera; Curculionidae.
GAAAAAAAUCCCAUUCUAUUGUGAUACGUUGUCCAUGUCAUCCCACAACAUGAUCAAUUUUUUAAAUUUGUUUGUUGGUUUUUGUUUGUUGAUUUCAUCUUGCUAUGGCUUACCAAACGUCCAAACUCUAUACUCAUUCAGGGCUCCAGAUCACGCAUUCGACCCUUACCGCCAUAGUUUAAACUACAACUUCAACGGAUAUGGUGAUCAGACCGACAGAAGUGGAAGAAAUCUUGAAUUUAUUUCAUAAUAAGCCUAUUUAAGUUUGAGCUUUCGCUUAUUAGUCGUUUUAUAUUUUAUUUUAAAAAUUCAUUUGUUUUCUAGCAAUAAACGUUCGCAGUUAUUAAAAGUUUGCCCUUUUAAAGUUGAUUUACAUCAAAUAUUAAGAACUUUAAUAAAAAAUAAUUAUAAAUAUAAUAUUUACAAAACAAUCAUUUCAUUAUAAAUUAAUAAGGUAUUUGUUAUCUCAAAAUAAAUUGUUUAGAUACAUAGAUUAACUUUAAGCUACUCUAAAAUUAAACUAUUGUAUAUAAUUGACACACACAGGUAGGUAGACAUAGUUGACAAGGUUAAUUUAAAUAACAAAUCAAAGCUUAACAAUAGAAAAACUCGACAGCAAAAAAACUGCAAUAAACAACAGAUGUCCCAUGUUUAAAAAACGGUGAACCAUAUUAAAAAAAAAACUAUUUUGCAUGUUACUUGUGUUAAUUCAUUCAAAAUCCCUAGGAGUAUAUAUACUGGUGUCAAUUGGGAAUCAGACAUAUUCUGCUCUCAUCUCUUCCCAGUGAGCUAAAGUAAAUAAAACCGCCAAGAUGUUUAAAUAUCUGUUCGCUUUAUUUGCUAUUUUGGCUCUCGCCUUUGCAGCACCAAAUCCUGAGGCUAAACCAGCCCCAAAGCCUCAAUUGGUAUAUAAUGCCCCAUAUGCAGCCUACUCCGCUGGAGUUCCAGUAGCAUAUAGUGUUUCUGGAGUAUAUCCUGCUGCGGCUGCUGCCAUUCCUGCCGCAUACACUUAUUAUUGAUAAGUGAAGGUUGAUUUAUUACAAACUACACAGAACGUAAAAGGAUUUGUAGCUUUUGUAUUGCCCUUAUAUAUUAAUGACGUUAAUUGUAAAUAAGUGUUUUUUAUAAAAAUAUAAAUGGCUUUUUAAAAAUAA